This 900-nucleotide ribosomal RNA is filed under the name uncultured bacterium. RNAcentral's name for it is "bacterial SSU rRNA". It matches the Rfam family "Bacterial small subunit ribosomal RNA", at positions 8 to 883 of the family's 1533-position model. The record is from RNAcentral.
AGAGUUUGAUCAUGGCUCAGAACGAACGCUGGCGGCGUGGAUAAGACAUGCAAGUCGGACGAGAUUUUUCGUUGUAGCAAUACGAUGGAAAGUCUAGUGGCGAACGGGUGCUUAACACGUGGGCAACCUGCCAAGAAGUGGGGGAUAGCUCGCCGAAAGGCGAAUUAAUACCGCAUGUGAUCAGAGAGGACAUCCUUUCGAAAUUAAAGUCGGGGCAACCUGACGCUUUUUGUGGGGCCCGCGGCCUAUCAGCUAGUUGGUGAGGUAACGGCCCACCAAGGCUUUGACGGGUAGCUGGUCUGAGAGGACGACCAGCCACACUGGGACUGAGACACGGCCCAGACACCUACGGGUGGCAGCAGUCGAGAAUUUUUGACAAUGGGGGAAACCCUGAUCGAGCGACGCCGCGUGGAGGAUGAAGGUCUUCGGAUUGUAAACUCCUGUCAUUGGGGAACAAUGCGUGACGGUUAACUGCCGUUGCGUUGAUAGUACCCGAAGAGGAAGAGACGGCUAACUCUGUGCCAGCAGCCGCGGUAAUACAGAGGUCUCAAGCGUUGUUCGGAUUCAUUGGGCGUAAAGGGUGCGUAGGCGGCGCGGUAAGUCGGGUGUGAAAUCUCGGAGCUUAACUCCGAAACUGCAUUCGAUACUGCCGUGCUUGAGGACUGGAGAGGAGACUGGAAUUUACGGUGUAGCGGUGAAAUGCGUAGAUAUCGUAAGGAAGACCAGUGGCGAAAGGCGGGUCUCUGGACAGUUCCUGACGCUGAGGCACGAAAGGCCAGGGGAGCAAACGGGAUUAGAUACCCCGGUAGUCCUGGCAGUAAACGGUGCACGUUUGGUGUGGGAGGAUUCGACCCCUUCUGCGCCGGAGCUAACGCGUUAAACGUGCCGCCUGGGGAGUAC